This 265-nucleotide ribosomal RNA is filed under the name uncultured Planctomycetales bacterium. Its description in RNAcentral is "partial 16S ribosomal RNA". It matches the Rfam family "Bacterial small subunit ribosomal RNA", at positions 565 to 828 of the family's 1533-position model. Lineage: Bacteria; Pseudomonadati; Planctomycetota; Planctomycetia; Planctomycetales. The record is from RNAcentral.
GAGCACGUAGGUGGGUUUGUAAGUCAGAUGUGAAAGCCUUCUGUUCAACGGAAGAAUUGCAUCUGAAACUACAAACCUUGAGUAUAGGAGGGGAGAGUGGAACUUCUGGUGGAGCGGUGAAAUGCGUAGAUAUCAGAAGGAACGCCGGCGGCGAAAGCGACUCUCUGGCCUAUAACUGACACUGAGUGUGCGAAAGCUAGGGGAGCAAACGGGAUUAGAUACCCCGGUAGUCCUAGCCGUAAACGAUGGGCACUAAGUAGAGGGG